CAUCCUCAGUCCUCACUUCACUCCUAAUUCGAAGUGAGAACUUUGCUGAGUUUCUCUCCACAAACAAAUUAAUUAAAGCCGCCAUUAAAACCCUUUAUCAAAAAGCUCUAAACAUUAACAAUGCCUUGUUUAACCAUGGAAGCUGUAACUUUGCUCUCCAAAUGCACCAUCUUCCCUUCCCAAAAAUCUUCUCUCUCUGACCUCAAACUCUCUGUUUCAGACCUUCCUAUGCUAUCUACUCACUACAUUCAGAAAGGUGGUCUCUUCACUCGUCCUCCUUUCUCCAUCACCGACCUCCUUUCCCUCCUCAAACGCAGCCUUUCUCAAACUCUCACCCAAUUUCCUCCCUUGGCCGGUCGCCUUGUCACUGACUCUGACGGCUACGUUUACAUUUCCUGCAAUGGUGCUGGCGCUGGUUUCAUUCACGCCGCCGCUAAUCAC
This 441-nucleotide long non-coding RNA is filed under the name Nicotiana tabacum (common tobacco). RNAcentral describes it as "long non-coding RNA (NTAB_LNC014455)". Lineage: Eukaryota; Viridiplantae; Streptophyta; Magnoliopsida; Solanales; Solanaceae. The record is from RNAcentral.